UCGCCAGUUCUGCUUACCAAUUUGGUAGGUAUGGACUUCUUAGAGGGACUUUCAGUGACUAACUGAAGGAAGUUGGAGGCAAUAACAGGUCUGUGAUGCCCUUAGAUGUUCUGGGCCGCACGCGCGCUACACUGAUACGCUCAACGAGUAUAUAACCUUGAUCGAUAGGUCUGGGUAAUCUUUUGAAUACGUAUCGUGCUAGGGAUAGAUUAUUGCAAUUAUUAAUCUUGAACGAGGAAUUCCUAGUAAACGCAAGUCAUCAGCUUGCAUUGAUUACGUCCCUGCCCUUUGUACACACCGCCCGUCGCACCUACCGAUUGAAUGACUCGGUGAAGUAUUGGGACUGCGAAUUUGUUUGCUUCAUUGCAUUCAAGUAUUUGUGGAAACUUUCCUUAACCUCGCCAUUAGAGAAGGGCGACGAACGGAC
RNAcentral lists this ribosomal RNA (427 nucleotides) under Saprolegnia parasitica. RNAcentral's name for it is "SSU rRNA". It matches the Rfam family "Eukaryotic small subunit ribosomal RNA", at positions 1359 to 1794 of the family's 1831-position model. The record is from RNAcentral. Lineage: Eukaryota; Oomycota; Saprolegniomycetes; Saprolegniales; Saprolegniaceae.